GCGCUCCCAGGCAGAGUACGAGCUCAGAGUUGGAGCUCAGAGUUGGAGCUCAGAGUUGGAGUGUAAUUCAGGAGAUGUGAUCAGUCAGGGCUGAGUGGAGCAGAGCGGCAGCCUUAGAGAAGAGCUGUACACAUACACAGCAGCAGCCCAGAGAGGCACACAGAGCCUUCUCCUUAAAUGGUCAAAGCUCCCAUGAGUGAAAGAGAGGCUGGUGCUGGAAAACAAGACAGGGAAAGGAAAGGAAAAGAGACAGCUAGGUUUUCUGUGAAAAAAUCUGGGAAUUACAGUUUGACUGAGGGAAGGUUCUGUCGGGUGUUUUAUGUGGAGUUUAUGUGGAGCUAAGCAGUGAAGGUGGUAUCUCUCACAGGAGGUUACAGAGCUGUGACGAUUCAGAGGCACCCUGCACUGAUAACAACAAAACAAGCCAAGUCCAAUGUCCUGACUUUGUGCAAGACCAAAAGCACAACAGUACCAGCAGUGAUGUUCCUGCACCUGCAUUUUUAGGUUCCAUCCCAGUGUCAGAGACACAAACGCCCCCAGUGUCCCCAUCACAAGUCUUCCUCCAGUACGAGUGUGCCCCUUCACUUACCGUCCCAACGGAUACACCCCCCCAGUCUGCCUGUGUCAGUCACGCUGCCGCUCACACUGAGGAGAAUGUAGCAGGUCUCAGAUCGGAGGAUCCUAGUUGCCGUGACUACUGUCAGUCAGAGGCCCGCGACUGUGGGAGUGGCCAAGCAUUGCCGCCUGGAGACUUUGGGAGGAGUCAGCCAUCAAACCCAGAAGACAGUGCUGGUAGUAAAGCCUCUGAACCAGAAGAUAGUGGGAGGAGCAAUGUAUUACAACCAACAGAUAUUGGGUGUGAUCUAGAGCAUUGUGGGAGUUUCCAUUCUCGAGAUCUACCGACUGUUUUAAUAACAGGCUCAGAUAAGGAAGGAGGGGGCCACGAGUUGUAUUGCUUUCCCUGGGUUCAGACUGAACAGCAGUUAGAGGAAUCCCCUACCCAACCCAUUCCAGCUGAGAGUCCCUUUUUUUUCCCCCUGACACGACCCC
Molecule: long non-coding RNA, 1050 nt
Filed under: Salmo trutta (river trout)
Lineage: Eukaryota; Metazoa; Chordata; Actinopteri; Salmoniformes; Salmonidae
Description: lncRNA (ENSSTUG00000050915.1)
Source: RNAcentral